Molecule: long non-coding RNA, 657 nt
Organism: Hemicordylus capensis (graceful crag lizard)
Lineage: Eukaryota; Metazoa; Chordata; Lepidosauria; Squamata; Cordylidae
Exons: 3
Source: RefSeq, a predicted model, not a curated record
GAGAAUGGGAUGGAGAAGGGGAACGAGGACACUCUCACUGGAGAUGGGAGCGGAACAUACAUCCCAGGAGCAGCAAUCUGUCUUUCAAACUGCUCUCAGCUCUUUCUCUCAAGAACAACAACAACCUUCUUGUUUGCCUCCAUGGUUUGAAUGCCGAAGGCAGCCCAAAGAAGCACGGUUAAAAUCAGAUGAAUGAAAACCUGUGUUAUUACAUCCAUAGGAUUUUAAGGUAUUGACUUUCUUUCCAGGUUGCCAUUUAAAAAAAUUGCCAAGUUCUCCUGGUCUGGCCUCAUAAACAGAAGAUCUUAAAGCAGACAUUUUAAUACAGACAUCAGUCUUAAUACAGACAUCUAUGGGUCAAAUGAGAUCAGUGUUCUUCCUUGCAAGGGCUGGCGCCUCUGAAACGGAACAUGAAGCACUGGAGGAGGAGGGAGCCCUCUUGGAUCUGUUUCUCUUUUUAGAUUUUAAUUGGUCAUAGGUCUCGAAUGAACUUGCCAGCACCUGCCCACACAUCUUGGAACCAGGUGCAUCAGAAAGAAAUAUUAUCUUGUGCGCUUCUUGCACUAGCCUGCCUGUCAGGAUGGAGCUGUGUCUGUCAGUCUCAGAGAUGGAUUGGGAUUGUGGCUCUCAGAGAAUGUGUAAGUUUCACAGCAGCAG